UUAACCCUACGGGGGGCAGCAGUAGGGAAUCUUCCACAAUGGACGAAAGUCUGAUGGAGCAACGCCGCGUGAGUGAAGAAGGGUUUCGGCUCGUAAAGCUCUGUUGGUAGUGAAGAAAGAUAGAGGUAGUAACUUGCCUUUAUUUGACGGUAAUUACUUAGAAAGUCACGGCUAACUACGUGCCAGCAGCCGCGGUAAUACGUAGGUGGCAAGCGUUUUCCGGAUUUAUUGGG
Molecule: ribosomal RNA, 233 nt
Filed under: uncultured bacterium
Lineage: Bacteria
Description: partial 16S ribosomal RNA
Rfam family: Bacterial small subunit ribosomal RNA
Source: RNAcentral